Pichia membranifaciens is the source of this 72-nucleotide transfer RNA. It matches the Rfam family "tRNA". From Rfam's summary of the family: Transfer RNA (tRNA) molecules are approximately 80 nucleotides in length. Their secondary structure includes four short double-helical elements and three loops (D, anti-codon, and T loops). Further hydrogen bonds mediate the characteristic L-shaped molecular structure. tRNAs have two regions of fundamental functional importance: the anti-codon, which is responsible for specific mRNA codon recognition, and the 3' end, to which the tRNAs corresponding amino acid is attached (by aminoacyl-tRNA synthetases). tRNAs cope with the degeneracy of the genetic code in two manners: having more than one tRNA (with a specific anti-codon) for a particular amino acid; and 'wobble' base-pairing, i.e. permitting non-standard base-pairing at the 3rd anti-codon position. Lineage: Eukaryota; Fungi; Ascomycota; Pichiomycetes; Pichiales; Pichiaceae. The record is from Rfam.
GGUCUUGUAGUGUAGUGGUUAUCACUUUGGAUUCUGAUUCCAACAACCCCAGUUCGAAUCCGGGCUAGACCU